GAUGAACGCUAGCUACAGGCUUAACACAUGCAAGUCGCGGGGCAGCAUGGGGGUUGCUUGCAAUCCCCGAUGGCGACCGGCGCACGGGUGAGUAACGCGUAUCCAACCUGCCCUUCACCACGGGAUAACUCGGCGAAAGUCGGACUAAUACCGUAUGUUGUCCAUUGACGGCCUCCGAUUUGGACGAAAGGUUUGGCGGUGAAGGAUGGGGAUGCGUCCGAUUAGCUGGACGGCGGGGUGACGGCCCACCGUGGCGACGAUCGGUAGGGGUUCUGAGAGGAAGGUCCCCCACACUGGAACUGAGACACGGUCCAGACUCCUACGGGAGGCAGCAGUGAGGAAUAUUGGUCAAUGGGCGUAAGCCUGAACCAGCCAAGUAGCGUGCAGGAUGACGGCCCUAUGGGUUGUAAACUGCUUUUAUGCGGGGAUAAAGUGGCCCACGUGUGGGUUUUUGCAGGUACCGCAUGAAUAAGGACCGGCUAAUUCCGUG
This 490-nucleotide ribosomal RNA is filed under the name uncultured bacterium. Its description in RNAcentral is "partial 16S ribosomal RNA". It matches the Rfam family "Bacterial small subunit ribosomal RNA", at positions 28 to 507 of the family's 1533-position model. The record is from RNAcentral.